Molecule: transfer RNA, 73 nt
Filed under: Ornithorhynchus anatinus (platypus)
Lineage: Eukaryota; Metazoa; Chordata; Mammalia; Monotremata; Ornithorhynchidae
Rfam family: tRNA
About the family: Transfer RNA (tRNA) molecules are approximately 80 nucleotides in length. Their secondary structure includes four short double-helical elements and three loops (D, anti-codon, and T loops).
Source: Rfam by way of RNAcentral
AGCGGCGUGGCUCAGUGGAAAGAGCCUGGGCUUCGGGAGUCAGAGGUCAUGGGUUCGACUCCCGGCUCUGCCA